This 1042-nucleotide long non-coding RNA is filed under the name Echeneis naucrates (live sharksucker). Its description in RNAcentral is "lncRNA (ENSENLG00000012692.1)". The record is from RNAcentral. Lineage: Eukaryota; Metazoa; Chordata; Actinopteri; Carangiformes; Echeneidae.
AUGCCAGAGACGCUGGUAACCGAAUAUCAAAGUAUUAUGGAUUUGCCUGUAGGAGAGAAUUUCUUUGUCCACUUGGCGGGAAAUACUAACCAGGCUCAUCGUGACUGGGUAUCAAAGUUUGUACAGGCCGGCCACAGAGAGGUGCAGACCUAUGAGACCUGUGACUACUGCCUGGUUUUCUGUCCUGUCACCUCACGGGUGGGAACUGAUGUCGAAGAGGCUCUGAGCAACGCUCCUGCCAACAAACCGGUAAUUCUGGUGGUUAUGCAUCACACCUUCGAUCAGAAUUACACUGUGGCUGAGAGCCGGAGGCUUGUGAGCGAUACAAACGUUCACCUCACAGUGGACUGUCUGUUCUAUGAAAACAGAUUCCUGCAGUGUAACACUAAUGAUAUAGCAUGGCAUGAAAUCCAGAAGCUGUGUCAGUUCUCUCAGAAAUCCAACACAAGCAUCCAGAGUUUUUUGAAGAAGCAUGCAAAGGCCAUCAUUGGUGGUGGUGCUGUUUUAGUCAUGUCUGCAAUCAUCACUGUUAUUUUCAAACUAACUGGAAAGAGAUGGCUGCUGUUAUCAUGGAUGGAAGAGAAAAUAUGUGCAAUUAACAGGAGUAUCAUGAAAGCUGAUGUAAAUGUUUAUGAGUUUCGAAUCAGGGGGAAAUAAUCAAGUUCAUCUAAGUAUUUACUCUUCAUUUCAUUUCUCUCUUUGUCAAAUGAGGGGAGAGACAGAGAAAGAGUGGGGGGCGGAUAAGCGGUAGAAGAUGAACAAAUGAAUGAAUGAAUGAAUGAUUUGAUUUGUGUUUGAUAAUAUUUGUGGUUAAAUGUGUGUAGGGGAGCAGUCUGUACCAUUUUAAAUGAAGAACAAUAACUCUUUGUUGGGGUGCUUUAAUAUAAUGAAUCAUUUAUUAAAACAAAUAAAAACUGAUCAGCCAAAGUCAGCGUAUCAUUUAUCUGUUCUCCUUUCUGAUCCAAGCUAACCUGAGCUCCUGAGCAGAGACUAAAUAAUCUGAGAUCUGCAGACACCGUAUGAAACAAAAGUUUAGUUUAUG